Molecule: ribosomal RNA, 468 nt
Filed under: uncultured bacterium
Lineage: Bacteria
Description: partial 16S ribosomal RNA
Rfam family: Bacterial small subunit ribosomal RNA
Source: RNAcentral
GACGAACGCUGGCGGCGUGCUUAACACAUGCAAGUCGAACGGAAAGGCCCUGCGUUUGCGGGGUGCACGUUUGGGGCACGGGUGAGUAUCACGUGAGUAUCCUGUACCUGUCUUUGGGAUAAAUCUUGGAAACUGGGGCUAAUACCGGAUAGGAUCUCCUGCAGCACGGUGGGCGUUAGAAAGAGUCGGCGGUUGGGGCUGGACUCGCUGGUUAUCAGCUUGAUGGGGUGGUAGUUGCUUACCAAGGGUUUGACGGGUAGCCGGCAUGAGAGGGUGACCGGCCACCAGAGGACUGAGAUACGGAGCAGACUGCUAUGGUAGGCAGCAGUGGAGAAUAUGGCACAACGGGCGGAAGCCUGAUGCAACAACGCCGCGUUCGGGAUGACGGGCUUCGGGUUGUAAACAACUUUCGAAUGUGACGAAGAGUGCGUGACGGUAAUGGGUAAAGAAGCCCCGGCUAACUACGUG